Molecule: long non-coding RNA, 498 nt
Filed under: Monodelphis domestica (gray short-tailed opossum)
Lineage: Eukaryota; Metazoa; Chordata; Mammalia; Didelphimorphia; Didelphidae
Description: lncRNA (ENSMODG00000039129.1)
Source: RNAcentral
UACUUGAAUGACAUUUAAAUCUGAUUUUGCUAAGAAAUGUAUGAAUUAAAAGUUGGAUUACUUACUUGAUGACAGAGAGGGAUAAACAGAUUCACAUAUCUCUUCGUAUUCUUAUGAUUUCAAGGGAACUUGAAGAGGUCCCUAACACAUCCUUGUGACCAACCUGUGGAAAGAAAUGGAUGAAGAUGGCAUAGCAUAGACAGGCAUGGAUGAAUUGCAAUCCAUAUCAUUGGGAAGGUUAGAAGGAAGAUGCUAUAAUUAUUCCAUAAACUUCACCAGACUGCUAAAGGAUUUCUUAAGGCAAAAAAGAUGAAGAACCUCUCAUAGUUAUCAAUGUCCAAUGGCAAGACAAAAAUGACUGAUGAUGGCUCAGGAUGCAGUGGAUGACUUUUGCUUCUUCAAUAUAUAACUAAGCUCUAACCAAUUCACACCACAUGCUUCAGAUAUUUUCAUUGCCUUUGGAAUAAAUUGUUCUCAUCUACCCUUUUUUGCUGGGAG